CCUUCACUCCUACGGGAGGCAGCAGUGGGGAAUAUUGCACAAUGGGGGAAACCCUGAUGCAGCCAUGCCGCGUGUGUGAAGAAGGCCUUCGGGUUGUAAAGCACUUUCAGUAGGGAGGAAGGUAGUGUAGUUAACACCUGCACUAUUUGACGUUACCUACAGAAGAAGCACCGGCUAACUCCGUGCCAGCAGCCGCGGUAAUACGGAGGGUGCGAGCGUUAAUCGGAAUUACUGGGCGUAAAGCGCAUGCAGGCGGCCUGUUAAGUCAGAUGUGAAAGCCCGGGGCUUAACCUCGGAAUUGCAUUUGAAACUGGCAGGCUAGAGUCUUGUAGAGGGGGUAGAAUUUCAGGUGUAGCGGUGAAAUGCGUAGAGAUCUGAAGGAAUACCAGUGGCGAAGGCGGCCCCCUGGACAAAGACUGACGCUCAGAUGCGAAAGCGUGGGGAGCAAACAGGAUUAGAUACCCUGGUAG
This 470-nucleotide ribosomal RNA is filed under the name uncultured bacterium. RNAcentral describes it as "bacterial SSU rRNA". It matches the Rfam family "Bacterial small subunit ribosomal RNA", at positions 330 to 793 of the family's 1533-position model. The record is from RNAcentral.